GACGAACGCUGGCGGCGUGCCUAACACAUGCAAGUCGAACGCUGAAGCGAUGAGCUUGUUCUUUUUGGAUUAGUUGCGAACGGGUGAGUAACGCGUAGAUAACCUGCUUUGUAUUGGGGGAUAAUUAUUGGAAACGACAUAUAAUACCACAUAACAAUGCAUGCCACAGUUCAUUUAUGUGAAUGGGGCCAUUUCUGCACUAAAGAGCGGAUCUGCGUUUUAUUAGGUAGUAGGUGAGGUAAAGGCCCACCUAAGGGUCGAUACCUAGUCUGCCUGAGAGGGUGGUCGGCCACACUGGGAAUGAGACCAGGCCCAGACUGCCAAGGGAGGGAGCAAGAGGGAAACGUCGGAAAUGGGGGGAAAACUGAACGAGCAACGCCGCGGUGGGGAAGAAGGGCUUCGGGUCGGAAAGGUCUGUUUUUAGGGAAGAAAGAGCGUGAGGGUGGAAAGCUGACGCUGUGACGGUAGCUAACCAGAAAGCAACGGCUAACUACGUG
Molecule: ribosomal RNA, 497 nt
Filed under: uncultured bacterium
Lineage: Bacteria
Description: partial 16S ribosomal RNA
Rfam family: Bacterial small subunit ribosomal RNA
Source: RNAcentral